Molecule: ribosomal RNA, 495 nt
Filed under: uncultured bacterium
Lineage: Bacteria
Description: partial 16S ribosomal RNA
Rfam family: Bacterial small subunit ribosomal RNA
Source: RNAcentral
GACGAACGCUGGCGGCGUGCCUAAUACAUGCAAGUAGAACGCUGAAGGAGGAGCUUGCUCUUCUGGAUGAGUUGCGAACGGGUGAGUAACGCGUAGGUAACCUGCCUGGUAGCGGGGGAUAACUAUUGGAAACGAUAGCUAAUACCGCAUAACAGUAGAUGUUGCAUGACAUUUACUUAAAAGGUGCAAUUGCAUCACUACCAGAUGGACCUGCGUUGUAUUAGCUAGUUGGUGGGGUAACGGCUCACCAAGGCGACGAUACAUAGCCGACCUGAGAGGGGGAUCGGCCACACUGGGACUGAGACACGGCCCAGACUCCUACGGGAGGCAGCAGUAGGGAAUCUUCGGCAAUGGACGGAAGUCUGACCGAGCAACGCCGCGUGAGUGAAGAAGGUUUUCGGAUCGUAAAGCUCUGUUGUAAGGGAAGAACGAGUGUGAGAGUGGAAAGUUCACACUGUGACGGUAUCUUACCAGAAAGGGACGGCUAACUACGUG